AAGUUUAACAGGUAUAUAUGAGGCCAAAAUCAAAUAACAAAUUACACCAUCAUAAACUAAAAAAAAAAACCUUUUAACUACAACAUGUUAGUAGAAACAGUAAUAGACAACAAUUCUGAGCUCCAACAGCUUUUGUAAACUUGUAUUACCGAAAUCUUUCCUUUAUUGUCAAACGUCUCUCAUGGAAUUACAGCAGAUGAAAUCGACGCCAAGAAAACUCAAGCGACGGGGUUAAAAUAGAAACGUAACCACACGAGAACCUCAAAUGCGACCUCUAACGGAAAAUCGGAACUCGACUCGUCGGAAAAUCGCCACCAACGACCUCGACAGUACCUAUUUUGUGACUGUUUUUAGGUGUUUUGAAAUGAGUUUUACACCUGGGUUUCAAUGAGUUUUUCAGCUCACUUCCAUGGCUGAAAUGGAGCUUUUCAGGCAGCUUUGUUGAAGGGAAGAAAGAGCAUCCAUGGGUGUUGGAAAAUUUCAGUCCAGAGUGACGAUCCCUCUUUGUUUUUUGUUUGUUUCCUUCGUUCCCUGUUACCCCCUUUUCGUUUGAGCUCUCUUGGUUAUGUGAGCUGUGCAUGAAGAAAGAAAUCUAAUGCCUAGAUCUCUUCGAGAGAAAUUAAGGAUAUAAAAAUGCCCAAAAUCUGUUCCUCUCCCCCCCUUUUUU
This 667-nucleotide long non-coding RNA is filed under the name Nicotiana benthamiana. RNAcentral's name for it is "long non-coding RNA (NBEN_LNC035256)". Lineage: Eukaryota; Viridiplantae; Streptophyta; Magnoliopsida; Solanales; Solanaceae. The record is from RNAcentral.